Molecule: ribosomal RNA, 382 nt
Filed under: uncultured Cryptomonas
Lineage: Eukaryota; Cryptophyceae; Cryptomonadales; Cryptomonadaceae
Description: partial small subunit ribosomal RNA
Rfam family: Eukaryotic small subunit ribosomal RNA
Source: RNAcentral
GCUUGUCUCAAAGAUUAAGCCAUGCAUGUCUUAGUGUAAAUAACUCUUAUGAAACUGCGAAUGGCUCAUUAAAUCAGUUAUCAAAUACGUGAUGGUCGCCUACUACAUGGAUAACCGUAGUAAUUCUAGAGCUAAUACAUGCACAAAGGCCCACUCACGUGGGUUGUGAUUAUUAGAUUCAAACCGGCCUCGUUCUGGUGAUUCAUAAUAACUCCUCGAAUCGCAUGGCCUUGCGCCGGCGAUGUUUCAUUCAAAUUUCUGCCCUAUCAAUUUGAUGGUAGGAUAGAGGCCUACCAUGGUGGUAACGGGUGACGGAGAAUUAGGGUUCGAUUCCGGAGAGGGAGCCUGAGAAACGGCUACCACAUCCAAGGAAGGCAGCAGG